AUAUUUUUAGCUCAGUUGGAUAGAGCAACAGUUUUCUAAACUGCAGGUGAGGGGUUCGAGUCCCUUAAAAUAUA
RNAcentral lists this transfer RNA (74 nucleotides) under Navicula tsukamotoi. Its description in RNAcentral is "Haslea tsukamotoi tRNA-Arg". It matches the Rfam family "tRNA". From Rfam's summary of the family: Transfer RNA (tRNA) molecules are approximately 80 nucleotides in length. Their secondary structure includes four short double-helical elements and three loops (D, anti-codon, and T loops). The record is from RNAcentral. Lineage: Eukaryota; Bacillariophyta; Bacillariophyceae; Naviculales; Naviculaceae.